GUCUAAGUACAUACAGCUAGUACAGUGAAACUGCGAAUGGCUCAUUAAAUCAGUUAUGGUUCCUUUGGUUGCUCCAACCGUUACUUGGAUAACUGUGGUAAUUCUAGAGCUAAUACAUGCCAACAAGCGCUGACCUCCGGGGAUGCCAGGGCAUCAAGACUUCAAAGUCCUGAAGUCAAGGAUUUCUGUAUUGCUGACUGACUUGCCAGCUUUGUGAUGGAUAGUAAAGGUGAUCAGCUUGUGGUCACUGUCACCCAGCUUUCCCCGUUGAUUCUUAGAUCACUGACUAAAUCAUCCCCUCUGGCCAGCAAUGCUUUACCUCUCAUCAGCCCAUAAACUUCUCAGGUCAGGUAGAG
Molecule: non-coding RNA, 356 nt
Filed under: Alligator mississippiensis (American alligator)
Lineage: Eukaryota; Metazoa; Chordata; Crocodylia; Alligatoridae
Description: Eukaryotic small subunit ribosomal RNA
Rfam family: Eukaryotic small subunit ribosomal RNA
Source: Rfam by way of RNAcentral